CCAUUGCUCAGUUGGUAGAGCACAAGACUCUUAACCUUGUGUUCGUGGGUUCAAGCCCCACGAUGGG
Molecule: transfer RNA, 67 nt
Filed under: Triticum aestivum (bread wheat)
Lineage: Eukaryota; Viridiplantae; Streptophyta; Magnoliopsida; Poales; Poaceae
Also listed under: 1 other name
Rfam family: tRNA
About the family: Transfer RNA (tRNA) molecules are approximately 80 nucleotides in length. Their secondary structure includes four short double-helical elements and three loops (D, anti-codon, and T loops). Further hydrogen bonds mediate the characteristic L-shaped molecular structure. tRNAs have two regions of fundamental functional importance: the anti-codon, which is responsible for specific mRNA codon recognition, and the 3' end, to which the tRNAs corresponding amino acid is attached (by aminoacyl-tRNA synthetases). tRNAs cope with the degeneracy of the genetic code in two manners: having more than one tRNA (with a specific anti-codon) for a particular amino acid; and 'wobble' base-pairing, i.e. permitting non-standard base-pairing at the 3rd anti-codon position.
Source: Rfam by way of RNAcentral